UUGCUCUUCAACGAGGAAUUCCUAGUAAGCGCAUGUCAUCAGCAUGCGUUGAUUACGUCCCUGCCCUUUGUACACACCGCCCGUCGCUACUACCGAUUGAAUGGCUAAGUGAGGCUUUCGGACUGGCCUAGGAAGGGUGGCAACACUCAUCUCGGGCCGGAAAGUUAUCCAAACUUGGUCAUUUAGAGGAAGUAAAAGUCGUAACAAGGUUUCCGUUGGUGAACCAGCGGAAGGAUCAUUACAGAGUUCAUGCCCUUACGGGUAGAUCUCCCACCCUUGAAUAACAUACAUUGUUGCUUUGGCGGACGCUUCGGCAGCCGCCAGAGGACCCUAAACUCUUGUUUACAGUGUCGUCUGAGUACUAUAUAAUAGUUAAAACUUUCAACAACGGAUCUCUUGGUUCUGGCAUCGAUGCAGAACGCAGCGAAAUGCGAUAAGUAAUGUGAAUUGCAGAAUUCAGUGAAUCAUCGAAUCUUUGAACGCACAUUGCGCCCCUCGGUAUUCCGUGGGGCAUGCCUGUUCGAGCGUCAUCUACACCCUCAAGCUCUGCUUGGUGUUGGGCGUCUGUCCCGCCUCCGCGCGUGGACUCGCCCCAAAUUCAUUGGCAGCGGUCCUUGCCUCCUCUCGCGCAGCACAUUGCGCUUCUCGAGGGGCUACGGCUCGCGUCCAACAAGCACAUUUACCGUCUUUGACCUCGGAUCAGGUAGGGAUACCCGCUGAACUUAAGCAUAUCAAUAAGCGGAGGA
RNAcentral lists this ribosomal RNA (746 nucleotides) under uncultured fungus. RNAcentral describes it as "eukaryotic LSU rRNA". The stretch from base 1 to 241 matches the Rfam family "Eukaryotic small subunit ribosomal RNA", at positions 1593 to 1831 of the family's 1831-position model. Lineage: Eukaryota; Fungi. The record is from RNAcentral.